Myotis brandtii (Brandt's bat) is the source of this 1277-nucleotide long non-coding RNA. RefSeq lists it as uncharacterized. The transcript is spliced from 2 exons. The record is from RefSeq and is a predicted model, not a curated record. Lineage: Eukaryota; Metazoa; Chordata; Mammalia; Chiroptera; Vespertilionidae.
AGUGAGGAGUCUUGUAUUUUACAAAUAAAUUUGGAAAAAGAGAGGAGUUGAAAAUAAUGAUGAAUGAACAAGUGAAAGAAAAGCACAUAAGAUGUCCUAGGCCUUGUCAGUCAAGGAAUAUGAGCCGCAACAACUUAGGGAGGUGAGAAGAGCUUCUAUUACCACUACAGCUUUGGCCUCUUUCAAACCCCAUCUUCUGUCAACUGUGGUUCAGGAAAGGAUAUGACACUGAGAAACCUCGGUACUUUCUGGAGCGUCCUCAGAGGACAUCAAGUUUUAGCUUUACAUGUGACCUUGCCUCUUCUCAUAGAAAGCUUAAUAUCUGCAAUAAAGCAGAAUUUGUGUCUGAAUGCUUACCCAGACUCUGCUCCAGACUCCAUGACUCAGGUCAACCGCCAACCCAAAACGGGCAGCUGACCAAGGCCCAGCAUUUCCUCCCGAAACCAUCUGUAUGAGAAGAAACCACAGUUGAGCAACUCAGGACUUAAAGGGCACUAUUGCAUUACGUUCACCAACUUGCUGAAUGAAAAGAAUGAUUGGAACAUUUUAAUGCAUCUUAAAUUUGUAAUAAUAAGUACUGUUCAAGUUUCCUUUUCUAUCCAGGGGAGAGGUGGUAUCUGCUGGUCUUAAUAUAGAUUCUGCUAUUUCACACAGGGUAUAUAAUGUCUUAGUGAAGAGAAAGGGGAGCUCAGGUUAUAGAACAGAGUUCAGUUUUUGAUGUGGUGGGUUUAAGGUCCCUGAGGGGCAUGCUGGUGGCAACAUCCAAUGGGUUAUCAGCUGUACAUCAAUGCCCAAGAUUCAGAUUUGUGCACCAUCGUCAUUUGAGUAGUUACUGAAACCUUAAGUUGUGAGAGAUAAUCUGAGAAAAAUUUGUAAAUAGAGAAAUAAACCCAGGGCAGAACCCUGGGAACAGUUCUAUUUAUGGGGUUGACGAGGGAAAAUGAAUUAUUGAGGAAGAUGGAGAAAGAGCAUCCAAGGAGAUGGAAGAGAAUGAGAGGUGUCUGUCUUGGUAGCCCUAGGAGAAGAGAAUUUCAAGGAUGAGGAAGUGGUCAAUAUAGAGAAGAGGACGAAUAAGAUAAGGACUGAAGUGUCCCUGUAGUUUAGCAACAUGAAACUCUCUGGUGACAUUGGAAAGAGCAGCUUCAGUGGCAUAGAAGAGAGAAUCCAGAUGUCAGGGGAUUGAAACUGGAGACCCUGGCACCAGUCCACAUUGUUGUUAUCUGUUUUCCCUUCUUCCUGUCUUUUUUUUUUUAAUUAAGUCUUUAUUGUUCAGAUUA